RNAcentral lists this ribosomal RNA (321 nucleotides) under uncultured eukaryote. Its description in RNAcentral is "partial 18S ribosomal RNA". It matches the Rfam family "Eukaryotic small subunit ribosomal RNA", at positions 1470 to 1796 of the family's 1831-position model. The record is from RNAcentral.
UCCUUAGAUGUUCUGGGCCGCACGCGUGCUACACUGAGUGGAUCAGCGGGUCAGGUUGCGCGAAAGCGUUUCCUAAUCUUUAAAUCCGCUCGUGAUGGGGAUUGACGGUUGCAAUUUUCUGUCAUGAACGAGGAAUACCUUGUAAGCGCGGGUCAUCAUCCCGCGCUGAAUACGUCCCUGCCCUUUGUACACACCGCCCGUCGCACCUACCGAUUGAAUGAUUCGGUGAAGAUUCCGGACCGUGUUGUCACCGCUUCACGGCAGUUUUGACGUGGGAAGUUAUCUAAACCUCAUCAUUUAGAGGAAGGUGAAGUCGUAACA